RNAcentral lists this long non-coding RNA (514 nucleotides) under Lepidothrix coronata (blue-crowned manakin). RNAcentral describes it as "lncRNA (ENSLCOG00000010025.1)". Lineage: Eukaryota; Metazoa; Chordata; Aves; Passeriformes; Pipridae. The record is from RNAcentral.
CCCAAAAAAAAAAAAAAAAAAAAAAAAAAAGCUGCGGCGGCCGGGAGCGGGGUUUUGUCGGAGCCGCCGGUCCCCGCCCGGGAUGGUGGGAGCGGAGGGAGUUGGUGUUCGAGCGAGGGGCUGUGGCGGGGUGUUGUGUUGGAAGCGAGGAUGACUGGGAGUAGGAAAGCUGGUGAUUAUUUCCUGGCGUUGCCCUCCUGGGCCAGGUGAUGAUACACAGUUGGCUUCUCCCCUCGACCCUUCCGAGCAACCCUUUUCUGUUCCUGUGGCGUCUGGAAAUGUUGGCCCCGUGGGUGCUGCAGAGCUGACUCCAGACAGUGCUUCCAAGCCUGACAGCUGCAAAGAAGUUGAUAACCACGUUUCUGAGGAUGAACCUUUGGCUGUGGCCCCUGGUGAUGAUGUAGAACUGCCUGCUCAAGAAACCGAGGGUUUCACAAGGGAAAAAAAGAGGUAUUGUGUUAUCUCAUAUCUUACAAUGCAUUUCCAUGUCUGUACAUCUUUUGCUUAAGAAAUG